RNAcentral lists this ribosomal RNA (253 nucleotides) under uncultured bacterium. RNAcentral's name for it is "partial 16S ribosomal RNA". It matches the Rfam family "Bacterial small subunit ribosomal RNA", at positions 524 to 776 of the family's 1533-position model. The record is from RNAcentral.
UACGUAGGGUGCAAGCGUUGUCCGGAAUUAUUGGGCGUAAAGAGCUCGUAGGCGGUCUGUCGCGUCGGCUGUGAAAACCCGGAGCUCAACUCCGGGCCUGCAGUCGAUACGGGCAGACUGGAGUUCGGCAGGGGAGACUGGAAUUCCUGGUGUAGCGGUGAAAUGCGCAGAUAUCAGGAGGAACACCGGUGGCGAAGGCGGCACUCUGGGACGGUACUGACGCUGAGACGCGAAAGCGUGGGGAGCGAACAGG